Molecule: transfer RNA, 88 nt
Filed under: Okeania sp. SIO2H7
Lineage: Bacteria; Bacillati; Cyanobacteriota; Cyanophyceae; Oscillatoriales; Microcoleaceae
Description: tRNA-Tyr
Rfam family: tRNA
About the family: Transfer RNA (tRNA) molecules are approximately 80 nucleotides in length.
Source: RNAcentral
GGGUCGGUAUCCAAAUUGGUUGAAGGAGCUUGACUGUAAAUCAAGUGCCGGUGUGCUGAACGUGGGGGUUCGAGUCCCUCCCGACCCA